UGGAGACAGAGAUGAUUAUGGGAGGUGUUAUCUUAUUCCAUAUAGAACAGGGUUUAAGCCGGAUGCUGGAGUUGGAAAAUUGCAAGUAAAUGCAUUUGUUGGCACUUCAAUGGCUAUUGGACCAGUGGAAAAAGGUUUCAGAAAAUGACAGAGAAAAAAUAUUUAAAGAAUUUCAAAAAUAUUACUGGUGGGAUGAUGUGAAUGUAUGUGUUAUAAGGAGGAAUUUUUACGAAGAGCUAGAUCCAGAUUUAACGGUCUGUUGGAUUAUGCCAGAACCAACUUGGUACAACCUGACUGGAUACUCGAAUCCUAUGGCAACAGUACAUUCUCUAUUGGAAUAGCCAAGAAUACCAAUUAUUGAGGGACAGAGAAAAGAAAGCCCAGGCAUCAUCCAAGGGUGGCUCUCUACAUACUGUGGGUGCAGUUAGUAUGAUUGCUGUCGAUAAAAAAUGGGUAGGAAGAUAUCUUUUGGUGAGGUAUUCGAGAAGACGCAUCUGAAGAAGAAAAAGAACCCAACUAAUAAAGAUGUUUGGGUUGAGCCUCGUGCAAAAGCUGCCCAUAGAGAGAGGGUACAUAAAAAGGAGGAGGAAACAACAUCACAAAUCAGGAUGCUGCAGGAGCAGUUCAGCUCUUUUAUUUAGUUUGCAAGGAUUAUUCCUCCAUGUACUGGUGAUGUAGUUCGGGCUGUAAAAGGUCUAGGCCCACUAGAUGAUAUCAGCACAGAUGAGGAUGCGGAAGACGAACACGAUGACGAUGAAGAUGAAGAUGAGUGCCAUGGACAUGUCCCAGUCUUAUGAGAGCUUAGAGAAUAGCCUUUACUAACAUUCUUCUUGAAGCGGCUUCAACUUCGCCCUCACAUAGGUGUUAAUGAGGUAGAUAGAGACAUGAUGGGACUACGGAUUGCGGAAUGACAAAUCACACAAGAGAAAAGUAGCUUGUUAGACCAAAUAUGGCGCCUAAAAACUAUGUCCAAGACUAAUUUGUCCUUUAUAAUUAGUUCAGGGACUUAGAAGGCAAUUAUGAGAGAAAAGAUUA
Molecule: long non-coding RNA, 1035 nt
Organism: Capsicum annuum
Lineage: Eukaryota; Viridiplantae; Streptophyta; Magnoliopsida; Solanales; Solanaceae
Exons: 7
Source: RefSeq, a predicted model, not a curated record